CCUACGGGUGGCAGCAGUGGGGAAUAUUGCACAAUGGGGGAAACCCUGAUGCAGCGACGCCGCGUGAGUGAAGACUUAUUUCGGUAUGUAAAGCUCUAUCAGCAGGGAAGAGAAUGACGUUACCUGAGUAAGAAGCCCCGGCUAACUACGUGCCGCCAGCCGCGGGAAUACGUAGGGAGCAAGCGUUAUCCGGAUUUACUGGGUGUAAAGGGAGCGUAGACGGCGAAGAAAGUCUGAAGUGAAAGCCCGCGGCUCAACCGUGGAACUGCUUUGGAAACUUUUUUGCUGGAGUACCGGAGAGGUAAGCGGAAUUACUAGUGUAGCGGUGAAAUGCGUAGAUAUUAGGAGGAACACCAGUGGCGAAGGCGGCUUACUGGACGGUAACUGACGUUGAGGCUCGAGAGCGUGGGGAGCAAACAGGAUUAGAUACCCUUGUAGUC
Molecule: ribosomal RNA, 440 nt
Filed under: uncultured bacterium
Lineage: Bacteria
Description: partial 16S ribosomal RNA
Rfam family: Bacterial small subunit ribosomal RNA
Source: RNAcentral